GCCGGUGGCCAUGGCGGAAGGGAAACACCCGGUCCCAUACCGAACCCGGAAGUUAAGCCUUCCAGCGCCGAUGGUACUGCACGCGGGAGCGUGUGGGAGAGUAGGAGACCGCCGGACCAC
Molecule: ribosomal RNA, 120 nt
Filed under: Propionibacterium acidifaciens
Lineage: Bacteria; Bacillati; Actinomycetota; Actinomycetes; Propionibacteriales; Propionibacteriaceae
Source: RNAcentral